This 1314-nucleotide ribosomal RNA is filed under the name metagenome. Its description in RNAcentral is "bacterial LSU rRNA". It matches the Rfam family "Bacterial large subunit ribosomal RNA", at positions 1619 to 2925 of the family's 2925-position model. The record is from RNAcentral.
UACUAAGCUUCAGCUACACACGACCGUACCGCAAACCGACACUGGUGCGCGAGAUGAGUAUUCUAAGGCGCUUGAGAGAACUCAGGAGAAGGAACUCGGCAAAUUGACACCGUAACUUCGGAAGAAGGUGUACCCUAUUAAUGUGAAGUGAACAACGGAGCAUGAACGGGUUGCAAAAAAUCGGUGGCUGCGACUGUUUAUUAAAAACACAGCACUCUGCAAACACGAAAGUGGACGUAUAGGGUGUGACGCCUGCCCGGUGCUGGAAGAUUAAAUGAUGGGGUGCAAGCUCUUGAUUGAAGUCCCAGUAAACGGCGGCCGUAACGAUAACGGUCCUAAGGUAGCGAAAUUCCUUGUCGGGUAAGUUCCGACCUGCACGAAUGGCGUAACGAUGGCCACACUGUCUCCUCCUGAGACUCAGCGAAGUUGAAAUGUUUGUGAUGAUGCAAUCUCCCCGCGGAAAGACGGAAAGACCCCAUGAACCUUUACUGUAGCUUUGUAUUGGACUUUGAACAGAUCUGUGUAGGAUAGGUGGGAGGCUUUGAAGUGCGGUCGCUAGAUCGCAUGGAGCCAACGUUGAAAUACCACCCUGGUGUGUUUGAGGUUCUAACCUAGGUCCAUCAUCUGGAUCGGGGACAGUGCAUGGUAGGCAGUUUGACUGGGGCGGUCUCCUCCCAAAGCGUAACGGAGGAGUUCGAAGGUACGCUAGUUACGGUCGGACAUCGUGACGAUAGUGCAAUGGCAUAAGCGUGCUUAACUGCGAGACUGACAAGUCGAGCAGGUGCGAAAGCAGGACAUAGUGAUCCGGUGGUUCUGUAUGGAAGGGCCAUCGCUCAACGGAUAAAAGGUACUCUGGGGAUAACAGGCUGAUACCGCCCAAGAGUUCAUAUCGACGGCGGUGUUUGGCACCUCGAUGUCGGCUCAUCUCAUCCUGGGGCUGUAGCCGGUCCCAAGGGUAUGGCUGUUCGCCAUUUAAAGAGGUACGUGAGCUGGGUUUAAAACGUCGUGAGACAGUUUGGUCCCUAUCUUCCGUGGGCGCUGCAGAUUUGAGAAAGCCUGCUCCUAGUACGAGAGGACCGGAUUGGACACACCUCUGGUGUAUCGGUUGUCACGCCAGUGGCAUUGCCGAGUAGCUAAGUGUGGAAGAGAUAACCGCUGAAAGCAUCUAAGCGGGAAACUCGUUUCAAGAUGAGAUCUGCCGGGGCCUCGAGCCCCCUGAAGAGUCGUUCUAGACUAGGACGUUGAUAGGUCGGGUGUGGAAGCGCAGUAAUGCGUUAAGCUAACCGAUACUAAUUGCUCGUGCGGCUUGACCCG